AUGGCGCAUGUCGGGGGCGUCAUCGCCUCGGCCAUCCUGGGUGUCGUGAGCAAACAGAUCAUGUCCGCCAUCAAAGGGCAGAUCAAGCUGCAGUGGAACUUCGUGAGCGACCUACAGAAGAUGAGAUCGUCGCUGCAGACGGUGGAGGCCCUGCUCGAAGACGCUGAGAGGCGGUCCAUCACGGAUCUGGCGGUGCGUCUGUGGCUGGGGCGGCUCAAGGACGCUAUGUAUGAGAUCUCUCACAUGAUCGAUGAUUUCGAAGUCAACAGCGAACCUGCUGCACAAAAGGUAUGUGACUGA
RNAcentral lists this ribosomal RNA (300 nucleotides) under Triticum aestivum (bread wheat). RNAcentral's name for it is "partial small subunit ribosomal RNA". Lineage: Eukaryota; Viridiplantae; Streptophyta; Magnoliopsida; Poales; Poaceae. The record is from RNAcentral.